UGAUUCAAAGGAUUUCCCCCCACCAUCUCGAUGUCUCAUGGAAAUGCCAACUCGUUAACUUCUCACACUGGAAGAAAUGGAGAACUGCUGGAGUGUUCAAAAGCGGAGACAAAUGGAGGAUCUGCAACAGACAGAGUGCUGCCAGUGAGAAUUAAUGGAGGUCCUGGCGUAAGAGGCCGAGAGCCAGUUAUAAAAAAGCUGGGUACCAGCAGCACUGCCUUCAUUGGACCUGUAUGCUGUCCUCCUAAGGCAGUCCAGAGAGCUCCCAAACCCCCAAAAGUAAGGAAACUUUCCAAACCUAACAUUGAAGAGACACUGAGUGAGUUCUACAAAGAGCUUGAGGAGAUUGAUCCAAAAGACAGCGUUGACAGUAGCACGGCCAAAAAUGAAGGCUCAGUUGAAUUACUCACGGCUCAUAACCCACCCCCUGCAAGAGAAGUGUCAAACGCAAGCCAUGGCCAUAAGCAACCUAAUCAUGUGCCUUGCCCACACUGGUAUGACAACGAGCCAUACCAGCCCAGGAGACCGAUACCUAAGGGGCCCAGCUAUGGUCCCUACUCAGAUCAUAAUCACUGGCAACCUCCCCCACCUUUCCACAGUCAGCCAUACUACAGGUUCCACAGACCUCCCCACCGCUUCCUGCCACCACCUCCAAUCCCCUGCCUCCCGCCACUACCUCCCACAGACCACCGGUAUCACCCCCAACGAGAGGGCUCCCAGCAGGUCCCACCUUUUCACAGGUUCCCUGUCCCUGAUGGGUACAGGAACUCUCCAGACUUGGAUGGCCAUGCCUUUCCCCCACAGCACUCUAACAACAGAGACAGAGGGGGCUACGGUUGGAGAGAUGACAAGUAUGAUCAGCAGGGUAAUGACCAGCCUUAUAACCAGCAAGGUUCUUCUGAAUGGCAGCAGAGGUUUGACAGAGCACUUGAGCCACCUCUGCCAGAGGAUCAGCACCAACCACCAGAAGAUAAAACAUAUGACUAUGAUCCUUCUCUGGUUCUCAUUCUGAUGAGGGGAGCCCCGGGAUCUGGGAAAUCAACACUGGCCAGGGAACUGCUGUCGACAGGCUCCAGUGGGCAGGUUCUGAGUACAGAUGACUACUUCUCCCAGGAAGAAGGCUACCUCUACGAUCCCAGUCUGCUGGGGGCCGCACACCACUGGAACCAGAACCGAGCCCAAGAAGCCAUGUGUAAAUGCUGUUCUCCUGUCAUUAUUGAUAACACAAAUAUGCAAGCUUGGGAAAUGAAGCCAUACGUUAAACUGGCCUUGGAGAGAGGAUACAGUAUCAACUUUCAUGAGCCUCACACCAGCUGGAAAUUUGAUCCCGUCGAGUUAGAGAAGAUCGACAGUGCCGAGGUUGGACCACAGUGAGAACGAGGAUAUCACAGUCAUGAAGAGUCUGGUUGCACAGGACGACGACAGCAAGCCCUGCAGGUGACGCAAACGACGGACAGCCGCUUCCAGCCAGGACGACAAGGCAGGCCAGGAGGCCAAGCCCAAACGUGGGGGAGGAGCCGUGGGCUGAGACCAAUGCCGCAGACACCACCCUGGAGACGAAAGAUGAACAGAACAAUCCUCCCAAAAGGGGUCGCAGGAGACAGCCCCCAAGGGCAUGAGGGGCCGGAAGAAGGCUGCUUGUCAAGCUGAGGAGGAAGAGGAGCAGGGAGAGGAGGAAGAAGGCAGCAGUGAGAACAUGGAAGUGAAGCCCACGGUGCAGAGAGGAGGCAGGGCACCACGGAGGUCGCAGCAGAGGCUACUGAUUACUUUUUUAAAUGGCUAAUUGUAGAUUGCCGCGGAGCAAUAUGUUGCUCUGGAGCCUCGGGUUUCAGGCCCUUGGUCUAAAUGGACACAUUGAUAGGUUGAUAAAUCGAUAGCCAACGCCUAACAUGCUACUAAUCUCUUGAAAGAGAAGGUGUGGAUGAGGAAUCUUUUGUGACAUUUUGUUGAUGUAUGUGUUCUUUUACAGACGACUGCAGAAUCCACGCCACAGAAAAGAUGGGGGAGACCUCUCAAAGCACAGCAACAUUCAGCCAUGAAAAAUAUUCACACAGGACGUUUGAGUAAAGAGAACGAGUCCGAGGUGGAGGAGAUGGAGAUGUCUCAGAGCCAGGAAGAGGAGGAGAGCAAGACCACAACCAGAGACAAUGACCCAACACACCUCCAGGCUGGGUAAGGGCUAUUUGACCAAGGAGAGUGAUGGAGUGCUGCAUCAGAUGACCUGGCCUCCAGAGUGAAGGAAAAGCAGCCAUCAGCUUUCAUCGAGGUGCGACGGAAGAUGGGCAGGAGAAGAUGAGACAGAGAUCAUGUUUUUUUCUCCAAGGUCAGGGGGCCCGUGACCACGAGGACAAGAACAGAUGGAGAGGAGCUGUACAUCGAUCGCCUAGGCGAUUUGCAUUUUAUUGUGCAUGUGCAAAGGUGCCUUUGCAGAUGAUGAAAAAAAAUGACAAGUGACAAAUCCAAGAUUAAAUCAAGUAUUUGGUCCAUUUUGCUGCCAGGCAUUGUUUUAUUAGUGUUUUGAGACGGAGAAAGGAGUAUUAAAUAGAUAAGAAUACAAUUAA
RNA transcript from Oncorhynchus mykiss (rainbow trout), 2561 nucleotides. It is a transcript of the gene named NEDD4 binding protein 2-like 2, with no coding region annotated. NCBI's taxonomy places the organism in Eukaryota, Metazoa, Chordata, Actinopteri, Salmoniformes, Salmonidae. The record is from RefSeq and is a predicted model, not a curated record.